Chinchilla lanigera (long-tailed chinchilla) is the source of this 3501-nucleotide long non-coding RNA. RefSeq lists it as uncharacterized. The transcript is spliced from 3 exons. Lineage: Eukaryota; Metazoa; Chordata; Mammalia; Rodentia; Chinchillidae. The record is from RefSeq and is a predicted model, not a curated record.
UGCCAGGCAAGCGCUUUUUGCUGCUGAGCUAAAUCCCCAGCCCCUCCUCCCUUUCUUAUAUGCAAGAAAAGGGUAAACCAAGGUGAAUAAAUGAGAUAAUGUACCUGGGAGUGCUUUGGGGUCUUUUUACUAUUUUUUAAGACCUCUAUUUUCUUGUAAAAUGAAGGAACUAGGACUAUGAGGAACUGCCAGCCAGACCAUCGCAGGGACAGCGGGGAGGUGCAUCAGGUUAAGGUGAGAGGUCAUGGAAAUGCUGAGAGAAGAUGGGUAUGUGUGAAUUUGUGAAGUGUAUCUCCCAGCCCAGCUUUGGCCAUCCAUGAUUUAACCCAAUACUUUCAGGCGAGAACGGAAUUUCCCAACAGCCAGCCUGGAUUCUAGUGCUUCUUAAUUGAGCUCUAUGGCAGAAUUACAGGAUAUCCCUAGAGAUGACUAUGUCCAGUGCCAUCAGCUGAUGGAAUGGGUCCACAGAAGCCAAAUGGCUAGACAUAAACAUUCUGUUUUGACGAAGUAGCAAACUUUCUUUUUUUUUUUUUUUUGUUUUUUCUCCGGUACCGGGAACCGAACUCACGACCUUGCGCUUGCCAGGCAGGCGCUUUGCCGCUGAGCUAAAUCCCCAGCCCCAGUAGCAAACUUUCUAAAACACUGUGAACUUGGGUAAAAUUUUGACCCCAGAUCCAAGUCCAACUUUCCUCAAUCCCGAUUCUGGCUGAAAGGGAGAAAAAUGAGGUCAGAGAAUUUGAGCAGGGUGCUUUAUUACCCAGCCCCGUCUUAUUCCGCCUCUAGCAUUGACUUCUCCCCUGUUUGCUAUUUGCAACUUGAUAUCAGGAUUUGAAUUUCUGUUGUUGCAGCUGCCCGGGAGAUGAGGCAAUUUGAAGUUGAAAGUCCUCAGAGAAGCUACAAAAUGAUGAUGAUGAGGAGGAGGGCAGGAGGGGAAGAAAUUUCCUUUAGAUGAAAUCUGUUUCCCUGGGACUCUGACCUGUAGUGUUACAGUUCUGUUCACUGUACGGACCCACAGUAAAUCCAAGUCACCUUCUACACUUCAAAGAAUGAAUACAAGGAAAAACCCAGAACCUGUGACUCUUGUUCACGAGCACAUGUCUGCAUGUAGUCAUGUUGAGUUUAUGGAAAAUGUGGUCAGCCUCAUAAAUCAGUGCUGAGGAAUUCUUACAGUCAAUACCGGGCAAGACAUGCAGGUCUGUAGUGAGUCUGCGAAGGUUAUGCAAAACAAAACAGAGGAAGCAUGUGGACCAGGGUCUAAUAUGGUCCUGCCUGCCCACAGAUGCCCUUGGAAUUCUCUCCUGGAAAGUCAUAAUACAGCUCUGGAUUGCAGCUCCUACCCAGUCUCUGACUGUUGCUGUGUAGCUUCAUGUAUACAUGGAGAAGUGUGUGGUCGUUACCAUGACGACAAUGACACAAUUCGCGCAAUCUGUUUUCUCCCAUGUAUCAUGCAAUUUUAGCAGAAGUUGUGGAAAGAAAGUCCAAAGUAAACUAGAUAAUUGGAGUUUGAAAUGGCUCUGAGAAUGUGUUCAAAUGUAUUCUAAUUCUUACAUGUCCUGUACUUCAAAUCUAUUCCUUUGUGUCAUUGGGAGUGGAAGCUCAAGGUGGUACUGUGUCUUUUCAAAACCAUGUUUUUCAAAAACAAUGCUAAUACAAGCUUUCAUUCAGAAUUAGUAAAUAAGAUAUUCAAUUUAGGUAUGAUACAUUGAAGGAAAUUCCAUCAGUUUCUAUUCCAUUGUUCUUGGAUUUAUACAACUGGCCUUAUGCCCUAAACAUUGAAUAUAAAUGAUAUUUCUUUCAAUCUUUUCUUUUUCUUAUACCCCUCCCACUUCUUAGGCUGACCCAGUUUAUCAGUUUGUUUCUGCCAAAUUAAUCAGUCGAGAGUGGGAUGCUAACAUAUUUUUAGUGAAGAAUUAUUUAGUUGCUCAGAAUAAAGAAGGACUGCACAUUGUAUCGGCAUGUUGUGUCACAAAAAUACGACUACUGAACCCUAUUUUAUUAUUUUUAAUGUUAGAUAAGUGUCAGGAAUCCUUAAAACCUUCAGUUUUUCACAGCAGCCAGAUGCAUAAUUUAAAAGACCAAAUAUUUUCCUGAAUAUUAACUUUCUAGCCUGGGUCCAUUUCUGUAUUAGGAUUUUUACUUUAAAAUUUUCUGUGGAAACUCAUUCCUCUUGACUUUCACAUAAAAAACCCCCAUGUGCCAUGAGAGCCAAGUUGACCCAGUGUUUAUAUGCUUGGUUUCACAACAUUUUAUCUGCCAUCCCUGCCACAAUUUGGAGCAAGAAGAGCUAUCUGGGUAGUAGCUCCCAUAAGCUAUGAAUCUUAAGACUAAUUCCCCCUAGUCACAAACUGCCCAUUGUUACUGAUGCAAAGUGAAUGUAGUGGCAGGGUCCUGAUAGUGUUUGUAGAGACGUCAUGUUGGAGAAUGGGCGAUGCAAAGAUGUAUGUAUCCAAUGCACACCAAUUGCAAUGUGGCUUGAUGUUUGCACCAACCAUUCACAAGGGUAGAAAAACACAUAGUACAUAAUCAUAAUAAUAUUUGCCAUCGAUUGGAAAUUAUUCUAUGUUCAACACUGGGCCAAAUGUUUUACAAACAUUACCACCCUCCACCAGGCCAUCUACUUUAUAAAGGUGACAUAGAGAAGUUAGGCGGCUUCCCUAAAAUUUUCCAGACCAGUCAAAUCAAAUCAAAGUCUGCCUCAUUUGCAAAAGAAAUUUAAAUUAGACACCUUUUGCUUUUGGAUAAAUGGGCCCAAUUCCCAAAGAAGUGAAUGGAAGAUGUAGGUUGCUGGUAAUUGAAGGAGAAUUUGAUAUCAUGCCUUGCUUGGGAAAAACUGUAGAAGAGCAUGUAGCUCUGACAAGAAGAAAUAGCAGUGUCACUUUCUGAACCAGAACAAAUUAUUCAGUUUCCCUUCUCUGUUUCCUCAUUUACAAAGCAUGCAGACAUGGGCUAGAUAGCUUCUAAGGUCUUUGUGGCUUUCCUGUCUAACACUCCACACUUAGCUCUGGCAGUUCCUAGACCAACCCUCACCCAAGAUAGAACACCCGCUGCAGUCCGGGAUGCUUGGCCCUAGACCUGCUGGGUGACAGUAAGAGUUCCCUGUGGCCCCUUAUGCUUUUAUCCUGACCUUGUGGUUACUGCCACUCUGUUCUCUGCCACCGGCCAGUGUGGCCAAAACCCAGCAGGGCUUCCUCCUGGGACUGUCCAAAGUUUGAUCCAGCCAUAUUCUAGUACUUACUGUGCCUCUAAGUUGAGAGGCUCAAUAGUUUUCUGUGAAAGUCCACUUUAGAAUCAAAUAAAAACUCAAGGUUUUGCGAAAAGUAGAAUUUUGAAAAUUAGUAUUUGAUUUGUGACAACAUAAAGCAAUAACUUCAUUUGUGUAUCUGGAGUUAUCAUAGCUCUACAGGGAGAGAGAGAAGAGAGAGGGAGAGAGUGUGAGAUAGAUAGAUAGACAGAUAGAUAGAGAGAGAGAGAGGGAGAGAGAGAAUCCAUGUAUCCAUGAAG